UACGGCGGGGGCUAGCGUUGUUCGGAAUUACUGGGCGUAAAGCGCACGUAGGCGGCUAUUUAAGUCAGGGGUGAAAUCCCGGGGCUCAACCCCGGAACUGCCUUUGAUACUGGGUAUCUGGAGGUCGAGAGAGGCGAGUGGAAUUCCGAGUGUAGAGGUGAAAUUCGUAGAUAUUCGGAGGAACACCAGUGGCGAAGGCGGCUCGCUGGCUCGAUACUGACGCUGAGGUGCGAAAGCGUGGGGAGCAAACAGG
Molecule: ribosomal RNA, 253 nt
Filed under: uncultured bacterium
Lineage: Bacteria
Description: partial 16S ribosomal RNA
Rfam family: Bacterial small subunit ribosomal RNA
Source: RNAcentral